GAGAUGGGGCCGUGUGUCAUGUCUGUGAGGAGCCCUCGAGGCCCACAGGACCUAAGCCCAGAGAAAUGGAAAGCAAAGGAGCCAAGGCCAGAGAGGGGUCGGGCCUUAACGGCCCCAUGGGAUGGAGCCAGCGCCCGGCCGGAGGGCUGUGCACCAGGGGCAGCAGGUGGGGAAACCGAGGCACAGAGGGAUGUGCUCAUUUGACCAAAGCCACAUGAAGGGUUCAGUGCCCAGGACUGCCCAAGGGAGGGUCCCAGGUGGGUGUCUACUCCUGUUCUACGGGAGGGGCAGGCCAGUGGAGUCACCAGGGUGCUGGCUUUGUAUCUGGCACCGUGCCCUAGUUUGUUAUGCCCAGCAUCUCCUGUACCCAAAGAGCGGGGGGCUGUGAUUGGCCCCAUCGUGCAGAAGAGGACACUGAGGCCCCCCCAAAGCUGAAUUAAACCACACGCGCUCCCUCCUGGCCGGGGCUUGACAUUGGCCUGACUGCAUGUUUGCAAAGAAAAUGUAAAAGGUUGCACAAAUAGGUCCCAAGAGGCCCAGGGAGGGAGGCAGGCCCUGGUUCUUCCUCUUGGAGGUGAUGACCACCCCUCUGUGGGUUCCCAGGCAUCUGGGCCCAGGCCUGGCUCCUACUUGCCCUCGUGUAGACAGGAGUUUUCAAAUGGCCAGCAGGGAGUGUGUGAGGCGGGAUCUGUGGGCGACAGGUGCUUGGACUCACCUGAACUCUCUGUACUCCUAGGAUUGGAAGAGUCUCCAAACUGGCAGGCCUCGUGUACCCGUCCCACCUCCUUGCCCUCUUGAGGGGUGGGAAAGGUACAGAGCCAAGAUCUGUAAAAAGAAAAAUCUUCAAAUCUGGCUCUAUAAAAACUACAUGCUUCUGAAUCAAACAGACACGCAGCUGAGGUUAGAUGCGGUGAGACAGCUGGGGAGAAAAACAUUUGUAACACUGUAACAGAGGGAUUCAUAGCCUUCCUAUACAAAGAGUUCCUACAAAUCAAUAAAAAAAAAAAAACCACAAAACAACCAUACAGAAAGCCA
Molecule: long non-coding RNA, 1035 nt
Organism: Neofelis nebulosa (Clouded leopard)
Lineage: Eukaryota; Metazoa; Chordata; Mammalia; Carnivora; Felidae
Exons: 3
Source: RefSeq, a predicted model, not a curated record